RNAcentral lists this ribosomal RNA (1369 nucleotides) under uncultured bacterium. RNAcentral's name for it is "bacterial SSU rRNA". It matches the Rfam family "Bacterial small subunit ribosomal RNA", at positions 28 to 1381 of the family's 1533-position model. The record is from RNAcentral.
GACGAACGCUGGCGGCGUGCCUAAUACAUGCAAGUAGAACGCUGAAGAGAGGAGCUUGCUCUUCUUGGAUGAGUUGCGAACGGGUGAGUAACGCGUAGGUAACCUGCCUUGUAGCGGGGGAUAACUAUUGGAAACGAUAGCUAAUACCGCAUAACAAUGGAUGACCCAUGUCAUUUAUUUGAAAGGGGCAAAUGCUCCACUACAAGAUGGACCUGCGUUGUAUUAGCUAGUAGGUGAGGUAACGGCUCACCUAGGCGACGAUACAUAGCCGACCUGAGAGGGUGAUCGGCCACACUGGGACUGAGACACGGCCCAGACUCCUACGGGAGGCAGCAGUAGGGAAUCUUCGGCAAUGGGGGCAACCCUGACCGAGCAACGCCGCGUGAGUGAAGAAGGUUUUCGGAUCGUAAAGCUCUGUUGUAAGUCAAGAACGAGUGUGAGAGUGGAAAGUUCACACUGUGACGGUAGCUUACCAGAAAGGGACGGCUAACUACGUGCCAGCAGCCGCGGUAAUACGUAGGUCCCGAGCGUUGUCCGGAUUUAUUGGGCGUAAAGCGAGCGCAGGCGGUUUGAUAAGUCUGAAGUUAAAGGCUGUGGCUCAACCAUAGUUCGCUUUGGAAACUGUCAAACUUGAGUGCAGAAGGGGAGAGUGGAAUUCCAUGUGUAGCGGUGAAAUGCGUAGAUAUAUGGAGGAACACCGGUGGCGAAAGCGGCUCUCUGGUCUGUAACUGACGCUGAGGCUCGAAAGCGUGGGGAGCGAACAGGAUUAGAUACCCUGGUAGUCCACGCCGUAAACGAUGAGUGCUAGGUGUUGGAUCCUUUCCGGGAUUCAGUGCCGCAGCUAACGCAUUAAGCACUCCGCCUGGGGAGUACGACCGCAAGGUUGAAACUCAAAGGAAUUGACGGGGGCCCGCACAAGCGGUGGAGCAUGUGGUUUAAUUCGAAGCAACGCGAAGAACCUUACCAGGUCUUGACAUCCCGAUGCUAUUUCUAGAGAUAGAAAGUUACUUCGGUACAUCGGUGACAGGUGGUGCAUGGUUGUCGUCAGCUCGUGUCGUGAGAUGUUGGGUUAAGUCCCGCAACGAGCGCAACCCCUAUUGUUAGUUGCCAUCAUUCAGUUGGGCACUCUAGCGAGACUGCCGGUAAUAAACCGGAGGAAGGUGGGGAUGACGUCAAAUCAUCAUGCCCCUUAUGACCUGGGCUACACACGUGCUACAAUGGUUGGUACAACGAGUUGCGAGUCGGUGACGGCAAGCUAAUCUCUUAAAGCCAAUCUCAGUUCGGAUCGUAGGCUGCAACUCGCCUACAUGAAGUCGGAAUCGCUAGUAAUCGCGGAUCAGCACGCCGCGGUGAAUACGUUCCCGGGCCU